GAGCAGGUGCGAAAGCAGGUCAUAGUGAUCCGGUGGUUCUGAAUGGAAGGGCCAUCGCUCAACGGAUAAAAGGUACUCCGGGGAUAACAGGCUGAUACCGCCCAAGAGUUCAUAUCGACGGCGGUGUUUGGCACCUCGAUGUCGGCUCAUCACAUCCUGGGGCUGAAGUAGGUCCCAAGGGUAUGGCUGUUCGCCAUUUAAAGUGGUACGCGAGCUGGGUUUAGAACGUCGUGAGACAGUUCGGUCCCUAUCUGCCGUGGGCGCUGGAGAACUGAGGGGGGCUGCUCCUAGUACGAGAGGACCGGAGUGGACGCAUCACUGGUGUUCGGGUUGUCAUGCCAAUGGCACUGCCCGGUAGCUAAAUGCGGAAGAGAUAAGUGCUGAAAGCAUCUAAGCACGAAACUUGCCCCGAGAUGA
This 417-nucleotide ribosomal RNA is filed under the name Salmonella enterica. Its description in RNAcentral is "partial 23S ribosomal RNA". It matches the Rfam family "Bacterial large subunit ribosomal RNA", at positions 2391 to 2807 of the family's 2925-position model. Lineage: Bacteria; Pseudomonadati; Pseudomonadota; Gammaproteobacteria; Enterobacterales; Enterobacteriaceae. The record is from RNAcentral.